CCUACGGGUGGCAGCAGUGAGGAAUAUUGGUCAAUGGGCUCGCGCCUGAACCAGCCAAGUAGCGUGAAGGAUGACUGCCCUACGGGUUGUAAACUUCUUUUAUCAAGGAAUAAAGUGAGGCACGUGUGCCUUUUUGUAUGUACUUUAUGAAUAAAGAUCGGCUAACUCCGUGCCAGCAGCCGCGGUAAUACGGAGGGUCCGAGCGUUAUCCGGAUUUAUUGGGUUUAAAGGGAGCGUAGAUGGGUUGUUAAGUCAGUUGUGAAAGUUUGCGGGUCAACCGUAAAAUUGCAAUUGAUACUGGCAGCCUUGAGUACAGUUGAGGUAGGCGGAAUGCGUGGUGUAGCGGUGAAAUGCUUAGAUAUCACGAAGAACUCCGAUUGCGAAGGCAGCUUACUAAACUGCCACUGACAUUGAUGCUCGAAAGUGUGGGUAUCAAACAGGAUUAGAUACCCGGGUAGUC
RNAcentral lists this ribosomal RNA (460 nucleotides) under uncultured bacterium. Its description in RNAcentral is "partial 16S ribosomal RNA". It matches the Rfam family "Bacterial small subunit ribosomal RNA", at positions 338 to 795 of the family's 1533-position model. The record is from RNAcentral.